AGUGGUCAAGCGUUUAAGGGCACGUGGUGGAUGCCUAGGCGCUGGAGGCCGAAGAAGGGCGCGGCAAGGCUGCGAAAAGCCUCGGUUAGCUGCCUAGCGAG
RNAcentral lists this ribosomal RNA (101 nucleotides) under Chloroflexota bacterium. Its description in RNAcentral is "Chloroflexi bacterium (sediment metagenome) partial 23S ribosomal RNA". It matches the Rfam family "Bacterial large subunit ribosomal RNA", at positions 1 to 96 of the family's 2925-position model. The record is from RNAcentral. Lineage: Bacteria; Bacillati; Chloroflexota.